GUCCACGCCCUAAACGAUGUCAACUAGGUGUUGGGUGGGUAAAACCAUUUAGUACCGGAGCUAACGCGUGAAGUUGACCGCCUGGGGAGUACGGCCGCAAGGUUAAAACUCAAAGGAAUUGACGGGGACCCGCACAAGCGGUGGAUGAUGUGGAUUAAUUCGAUGCAACGCGAAAAACCUUACCUACCCUUGACAUGUCAGGAACUUGCCAGAGAUGGCUUGGUGCUCGAAAGAGAGCCUGAACACAGGUGCUGCAUGGCUGUCGU
This 266-nucleotide ribosomal RNA is filed under the name uncultured bacterium. Its description in RNAcentral is "partial 16S ribosomal RNA". It matches the Rfam family "Bacterial small subunit ribosomal RNA", at positions 793 to 1055 of the family's 1533-position model. The record is from RNAcentral.